Molecule: ribosomal RNA, 929 nt
Filed under: uncultured bacterium
Lineage: Bacteria
Description: bacterial SSU rRNA
Rfam family: Bacterial small subunit ribosomal RNA
Source: RNAcentral
AGAGUUUGAUCCUGGCUCAGGAUGAACGCUAGCGGCAGGCCUAACACAUGCAAGUCGAACGGUAACAUAAGGUGCUUGCACCUUGAUGACGAGUGGCGCACGGGUGCGUAACGCGUAUACAAUCUACCUUUUACAGGGGGAUAGCCUUUAGAAAUGAAGAUUAAUACCCCAUAGUAUAAUGAUAUGGCAUCGUAUUAUUAUUAAAGAUUCAUCGGUAAAAGAUGAGUAUGCGUUCUAUUAGCUAGAUGGUUUGGUAACGGCAGACCAUGGCAACGAUAGAUAGGGGCCCUGAGAGGGGGAUCCCCCACACUGGUACUGAGACACGGACCAGACUCCUACGGGAGGCAGCAGUGAGGAAUAUUGGACAAUGGAGGCAACUCUGAUCCAGCCAUGCCGCGUGCAGGAAGACUGCCCUAUGGGUUGUAAACUGCUUUUAUACAGGAAGAAACCACUCUACGUGUAGAGUUCUGACGGUACUGUAAGAAUAAGGAUCGGCUAACUCCGUGCCAGCAGCCGCGGUAAUACGGAGGAUCCAAGCGUUAUCCGGAAUCAUUGGGUUUAAAGGGUCCGUAGGUGGAUAAUUAAGUCAGAGGUGAAAGUCUGCAGCUCAACUGUAGAAUUGCCUUUGAUACUGGUUGUCUUGAGUUAUUAUGAAGUAGUUAGAAUAUGUAGUGUAGCGGUGAAAUGCAUAGAUAUUACAUAGAAUACCAAUUGCGAAGGCAGAUUACUAAUAAUCAACUGACACUGAUGGACGAAAGCGUGGGGAGCGAACAGGAUUAGAUACCCUGGUAGUCCACGCCGUAAACGAUGGUUACUAGCUGUUCGGAUUUCGGUCUGAGUGGCUAAGCGAAAGUGAUAAGUAACCCACCUGGGGAGUACGUUCGCAAGAAUGAAACUCAAAGGAAUUGACGGGGGCCCGCACAAGCGGU